UCCUGACCCUCUCCGCCAUUUAAAGAAACAGUACCGGGGGCGGGCCGAGCGACGCAGCCGGGACGGUAGCUGCGGCGCAGACCGGAGGAGCCAUCUUGUCUCGUCGCCGGGGAGUCAGGCCCCUAACUCGAAGAAGCCCUGGCGCGCCCUCCCCCCCUUCCCGGUCUGUCCUGUGCCUCCUGAUUGCUGAGUGUUCACCUGGAUCUUCUGACCACCUUCCUUGUGCUCUUCCGUCAGCCUACAGAUGUGGUACCUGGAUUUUUGCCCAUGGUGAUUGCUACCACCUUACUACUGAAGAAGACAUCAUUCCAGUGGACACUGUGACCCAAGAGGCAUUCAGCCAUCAUGAUGUGGCCUUUACCUCCACUCCUGUCCUGUUCUACCCAGAUUCAGCACAGCCCUUUAUAGUAAAGUCAAACUCUUCAAGCCAAAUAGCUGAAGUUGUUUUAUCACGACAAAGGCCCAGUUUGUUCCAUGAGUGUGCAUUUCGUUUCUUCGGUUCGAGCCUUCAGAGACACAUGAUAAAUUUGGACCAGGGGACUUUUAGUUAUCAACACUGUCUGAAGCAUGGCAACAUCUUUUUGAGAACAACAUUGGACCACACCCCAUAAUCUCAAAUGAUUGAAGUUCAUGAAGUGUCUAGGAUCCCAUUGAGAUCACUGGACUCUGUCCCUUUUGCUUCAAAUCUGUAGUAGCCUACUGAAUGAGAAAGCAGAUAUUAUGACCCAUUGGGAUUAAAACGGGCACAAUGAACUCCUCAUAGCAUCUUCUUUGGGAUUACUCAGGAACCAGAACUUUUCACACAAAUGUAAGAAAUUCUACCAAGGAAUCCCUUUGCCUAACAGCAUCUCACACAGCUCCAAUCAGAUGCCAGAAAAGGCCUCUUGAUACAUCCAGCAUUUUGUGAACACCUUAUUCUUAGAUCAUUGGUUUUCCAAAGGCUUUGUGGCCGUGAAGCCCUUUGAAUGAAAACUGUGUGGAAGCCCAGAGUAAGAGUGAAGCUGCUCUGGAUGAAGCAGGAGUAGGGGGCCUGAAACCUGCCACAAGCAUCUUCUUUUACCACCAUGGUGACACCUAAGGAGACUUCUUUACAACAGCUAGAAUUCUGCAGAACACAGUUUGAAAACCACUGCCCUAGACAGCAAUAUGUUCGACCUGAAUGACAUUUUCAUCUAUACCUCUGCCGAAACAGUCCAAGUUCAGUUGUUGCCGAACAUUCUAAGGGAUACUAACUAUGAGCCAACUCAGAAAAGGCCAAGAAGAUGGGCGUGUCUUUGCCCCCCAGAGUCAUAUGGGCUGAAAGUGGUAUCAGAUGGACCUAGAUUAACAGCCCUCUGCCCUAGAUGGACUUCCACUCAUUCCUGGAAUUGGAUAGAACCAGAGAACAAUUCAUAUGUACUCUACACUGACAAACCCCUUUACCCAACUUCUUUCACACACACCAGAUGUUCUAGUGGUACUUGAAAUACAUGACUUGGAAGUCUUGAUCCUCCUUAGAUACCUGAAUUGCCAGGUAUUGAAGCUGAUAUUGAAGUUGAUGCCUCAUUGAGGCCAUAUUAGACCAACUUGUACGUUGAACCUCCCGUCAUCGGCCAUGGUACUGUACUUCGUGUGCAAGGGAUAACCAUUAACUAUGAAAGCAAAAUUCAGAUACUGGCAACGUUACCUAAAAGGGUACCUGGUUAUCAUUCAUCUUAAACUACAAGUCACUGUGACUCAACCAGUGGCAGUUACACUGCUCCUUGGUUUUUAUUCAGUUUAACUGCUGUUUCCAAGAUAAAUGAGCUAAUAACCUUAAAAAAAAAAGUUAAAACAAUUUCUCCAUCACUGGCAUUUCUGCCUGUUCUGUUCCAAAAAUUAUGAAUACUCAGCUCUAACUGCAUGUAACCCCGAUCCACAAGAGACAAUCUUUGAAUAUCCUUACUUGGGUGUAAUUUAAAAUGUGGCUGUUUGGAAAAUUUUCUUCUAGCCCACAAGGGAUGUUCUUUUAAGAUAGAUCUUUUGAUGUCUGGUACUAUCAAGUAUAGAUGUUAGGGAUAUUUGGAGGUAGGCCUGUUGGCCAGGCCAUGAUGACUGACUUGCUUGGCAUCUCAAAUUGCAUAUCAUCUACCUUUUUGGUGGAAAUGUAGAAUGACUUGAAAAAAAGUCUACAAAGCUUGCAGCUAAGUAUUAUCAGUAGACUCAAGAGCUUCCUGCUGCUGCUGCUUAAUGUCACAAGACCACAGUCCCUCGUCCUUGUGGAUGUUUUAAUGGAAUUUCAUCUGUCUCAGUGCUGUUGUUUCACACUUAUUCACAGUGGCUGACUUCAUUCCUUGCCGUGAGAUAUUCUCAGGCUUUAAGACAAUUUAUCUGUUUCUGCAGGAAGGAUUCCAUUUAUGAACUCCCAGACCAAAUCACAUCAAACAAGUAGACUUCGAUUUGUGUCAUGAAAGAAAUCUCAUUCCUUUACUACACAGUCAACGUAAGGGCCAGCUGUCCUCAACUACUUUAACAAAUGCACUGGUUAAAUGUUGGGAAAGGUUUCUUUAUGUCUUUGUCUCUUAUCCUUAUGGUGGUUACAUGACUGGGUCUACAAAUCAUCAAACAAGGCCUAAGUCUGUUUACUCUAGACUGUUCACCCUCAACAAAUAAAAAAUCUGAUGACUAGCCUGCUUGUAUAUACAACUAUUAUUUGUAAAGAAGAAAUCAUCUACAAACUAAGUUUUUCUACUACCUUCAAAACGUCAGCUCAAUUUUCUCUUUCUCUGUACUUUACAGAAAAAGAUAUUCAUCUACACUGCCAGUCAUUCCCUUUAAUCCUGUCAAAAUGAGGGGCUUAAGAAUGAGGAUGAUCGUCUGUUCUAGAGUCUAAUGAACACUGUAUAAGAGUUGAUGGUUGAAAAACCAAAACGCCUGAAACUCAAACCUAGUAUCUUGCCUACUAUCUCCAUGCCUCAGAUCUCAUCAGUCAACCAAUCUGAGGCCUUGACUUAUAUAUAAGGUGAUUCUCACAGAUAGGCUGAGUUACAGAGGAUGGAGACUUGAUUACCAAAGAAAGUAGGGCCAAUCUUGAUAAACCUGGCUCUCCCAACCUUAUCAAUCCCAGAUGUAGCAUAGGUUCCUAAACAGAACCUCAAGUCUGAAUUGAGGAUAAAGCCGUCUCCUGAGCUGAAAGCUCUGGGGAAAUGAACAGGAAAAUGAAAGCUGCUGUGCCUGACUGGCCCUUUAAGAUCAGAAAAAUGUAUCCAGAGUAAAGCCUGUGGAUUAACCCUGGAGUACUCAGGAUAAGAACUGAUUUACAGAGCUUCAAUAGUCAUCAUCCUGUUCUUCCAGAUCACGUCUGGCUAAUAGUAUGGCUGGCCCUGCUGAUGGUACCCUACUUGCCUGGUUACCUGAUUCAGCCCUUGCCUGCCUUUUUGGACAUGUUGCUGCAAACAGACUGACUGUGCUUGAGAAGACUACCAGUGAUCUUGGCCUAACUUAUACCCAGGCCCACCAAGGAAUUUUGAACAGAAGCAACCUGCACCUCAGCCUACCAGGACUUAAUGUUCACAACAGGAAGGACCAUUCUGUGUAAUCCUUGACCAACAGCUUUUUCUUGUUGUUAAGUGCAGAGUAAGCCUCUACACCUGUAUUUGAUUGUUUUCAGCACCUGGGACCCCUUUGAUCAGAUCUGCAGGAGUACAGCAGAUUGAAAUCAUUGUCCAUUCCUCUCUCGUGCACUAAUACAGAGAUGAGUCUGAUUCAUCAGCACUCACAGAAAUGUACCAGUUCAACUUGGCAAAAGACUUAACACAAGAAAACUCUUCCACUGAACUUAAAAUUUACCACUGACUUGAAUAGCCUCACAGAACUGUUCACUGGUGGGAGGCUAGUUAUCCUGCUUUAUGUCAGCAAGACAGUUGGGCCUUCAGACUCAUGACCACUGAGUUUACUUAUAUUGAAACUCUGUUGUAUCAUCCAGAGUAUGCUAUUGAACAUGAUUGUUUCAUUCAAAUGGAUUACAAACUUCCUGUGAACAGGACAAACUUACUCCUCAUGAUGUUCUUCCAGAGUAUUAUCGAGGAAGUAACAAUGUUAGCAUCAACUUUAUGACCAGAGAUUAAACUUUUGCGUUAUCUGGUCUUAUCAUUGGCAGGAGUUGUUUUUGAUUGACCAGCAUCCAUUCCAUCUCUUUGUAACAACUCCCUGAUGUUUCUUGGAACCAUAUUUACCUGUUUUCAGUCCACAUGGUUCAGACCUGAUCCAUCAGCAUAGUCCAUCUCCUUGACUGUAGUGAUUGGUUCAGGAAUGUUCAUGUGAUUCAAGUUGGUCUAGUGAUACUGAAGCCCAGGAAUUUUACUGAACUGUGGAGGAGGAGAAGCUCAGAAGCUCUCUUUAUUGAAGUCGCUUAGCUUUGUAAGAUGAAAAACUCAAACCACCAGGGCCCACCAUAUCAAAUGAGCCAGUCAGAAAGUGCCAGUGCAGAAGAAAGCAGAGCCAAAUGAUGGAGAGACUUGAGUCCUGAUAACAAAGUUUGUGCCCCUGGAUCCAACCGUGCCUGAAGCUAGUAUAUCCCCUGGACUUUUCAGUUAUGUGAACCAAUAAAUACCCUGUUUUGCUUAAGUUACUUUGAGUUGGGUUUCUCUUGCUUGAAAUUGAGUCCUACCUGAUACAGUAUCUACCAAUAUCGAAACUUGACAGAUCCAAGUAUUUAUUAAAUUAGAGCUUAUGGCCAUACUGAAAUUAUCUUCCAAAUCGGAACGCAAAAUGAGACAGGAACUGACAAUAUUCAAGUUACUACAGAAGUAUGAAAAUUACAUGGUAGAAAAAUGUAGAAGAAAACUUAAAAGUUUAUCAAAAGGAUUGGUUAAAUAACACAUGGUUCAGCC
This 4850-nucleotide long non-coding RNA is filed under the name Equus caballus (horse). RNAcentral describes it as "lncRNA (ENSECAG00000059187.1)". The stretch from base 171 to 405 matches the Rfam family "Taurine upregulated gene 1 conserved region 3". Lineage: Eukaryota; Metazoa; Chordata; Mammalia; Perissodactyla; Equidae. The record is from RNAcentral.